Long non-coding RNA from Sinocyclocheilus rhinocerous, 92 nucleotides. RefSeq lists it as uncharacterized. The transcript is spliced from 3 exons. NCBI's taxonomy places the organism in Eukaryota, Metazoa, Chordata, Actinopteri, Cypriniformes, Cyprinidae. The record is from RefSeq and is a predicted model, not a curated record.
GGAUCAUGAUGUUAUUGUAUGGAUGCUGGCUUGUUGCACUCUGCUCUUGCAUCAUAGGUCCACCAGAGUGGGUGGAUGGUUAUGAUAAUUCA